Coturnix japonica (Japanese quail) is the source of this 11807-nucleotide non-coding RNA. Lineage: Eukaryota; Metazoa; Chordata; Aves; Galliformes; Phasianidae. The record is from RefSeq and is a predicted model, not a curated record.
AAAAGCAUUAACAAGCCUAGGAGUUUUCAUUAGUUUUCCUUCUAGACUUUCCUUCUAUCUAAUUCACUGAGGAAAUAUGAGACUUAAUAUAUUUGUCUUCAAUAAGUGCUUCAUAAAUAGGAAAUAGGAGGUACUGAAAAAUGCAAAUGCAAGAUUUCAAAAGAUGGAUCUAAAUGCUAAAAUACUAAAGAUUGUUUGUUUCUUCUUGGUUGAAGGUUUUUGAAGUAAAAAAGAAAAAAAAGAAAAAAAAAAAAAGAAAGAAGAAAAUUAAUAAAAAUGAAGACGAACAAGGAAGUCUGACCCCAAGCUGCUUCAGAGCUUCAGAACCAUUUAUAAUUCCAAUGUCUGAUGUGAGAGAUCUUAGCUGCUGAGCGUUUGGAAAGGGAUGUGUUACAGAAGCUGGUUCAGAGCUGCGCUGCCUGCCCUGUAUGUCUUCAUACAUACAAAAAAAAAAAAAAAAAAAAAAAAAAAAUCCUUGAUAUUGAGAAUUUUUCUGACCGGCGAAGGGACAUUUUGUUUUGUAUCCCAUCAUGUACACAGCACAGUGUCUUCUGAGAACCUGCUGCUUGGGAUAGCUACUUUCUCUUGAUCCAGUGAGUGCCUUGAGGCUCAGCUGGAACUUUGAUACCAAUUUAUUGGAGCCUGAGAGUGAACAACAAAUUUACUGCUUAAUUAUUCCAAAAGCUUUAAGAUGCCCGUUUAAGUGGAAUCUAUCAUGGAAAAUUGUACUAGAGCCCUUUUUUGGCAAGAUUUUUCAAGAACCUUCUUCUUUGGAUCUUGAAGAUCCAUGGCAAAGUGGGUGAAGUGCCCAAAUGGAAUCUUCCUGCCAGGUGUGUGAAGGGGUGGAAAAAGCCUCUGUUGAAUUUCCAGAUCUUGACUAUGUUCCCUCAAGAGCUUCUGAGAAAGCCUCACUGAGAAAAUGUAUUUGCUUGGGACAGAUGUGUGUAGACCUCCCCAAUUCUGAGGAACAAAUCUUACUACGGCCUCAGACUGUCAUGCAGCCAGCCAGGUAUGUACCAGCAGCAUCCAGUCCCUGCCAUUCAGAAAGCUGAAAAGAGAGUUUAUAGUGUCAUUAAGAAAUUUGUAUAUAUGGUCUUUGAUGAUACUUGCGCAGAUGUUUGUGAGGAUCUGCUAUACUUUUCCACACAGAGAUGGAAAAUGUCUUAUGUAUUCUGAUAUUAUUGUAAUGACAGCUUGCUUGGUUUACCUUUGUAUAAUGAAUAUUUAAACAGUAUUUAGUCUAUUAGCUGUCAGAUGUGCCGCAACUCAUAACUUUGUAAAUCUUACUUUAGCUUGUAGUAAUACACACUUGAGUGCUGGCACAACACCUUUACGGUUUGACAUAUGCAGAUAUUUGUACCUGGAGGUACUACAGCCCUGCAAAGUAUCAGAGUUGUUUUAUGACACUGAUAGUGAUGAACACUAAAACCUGUUGGAUGUAGCAUUCAGUUGUCUUUGCAAGUUUGAAAUUUCAAUUAGAUCAAGCAGGAGACUGUUAGAAUUAAAGAAAAAUAGGGACUGCAGAAAGGGAACUGGAAUGAUUGAUUUCUAUUUGUUGUUUUUUUCCAUUCUUUCAUGUCUUCUGGCCUAUUCUGUUCUGCAUCUGCUGCCCAGCAUGCAUUUGCCUCCAUGUGCCUUGUUAUAACAUAGUUUUUCUCCAUGAUGCUCAAGAGUCAUCGCUGUUGAGAAUAAUCAAUAGGAGAACCUAUCUUGUUUGGUGUCUAUUUCCUUGAGCUUUUCUUGUAAGCAACCUUGUUUAUAUUAGGGUGAAUUAAAAUGCAAUAAGUUAAAAAGAUCUUCACCUUCCCUUGAGCUUACAUUCUACAGGAGUCCAUACAUGAUCAAUUUCUAGCAUGCUGUUUUCCUAGCAAAUUUUCUUUCAUACCUGACUAUAUGACUCCUAGCAGAAACUAUGCUGAAGUUUCCGCAUUUUCUACUUCCUUAAGAGAGGUGGUGGUACAAGACAUCUGUAUUGGGCUAUUUUUCUUCAUAGCAGUCAAUAUGGUGCUUUGUUUUGGAUUUUUGACCAAAACAGUAUUGAUCACACACCAGUGCUUUAGUUAGUGCUGACCAAUGCUUUAACAGUGCCAAGACUUUCUCACUCAGCCCCCUCUCCCCAGUGAGUAUCUAGGAAGGCACAAGAAGCUGGCAGAGGACAUAGCUUUGAGCAGCUGGUUGGGGCUACCAGGGCACACCACAACAUCUUGUCUAGAUUUAGGAAUGCUGAUCCAAGGAGUUGGGGCAAUAUGUAAGUGUAUUAAAAUGAAGAAAAGCAAAAGGGUUUGCAAAUAAGCUAAGGAGUCUUUUUAUGUAUUUCUCCUCCAAAUGGAGAUGAAAGCAGCUAUGGCUGCUGUGGGACUGCCUUAAAACAUCCCUUGGCAAAUUGCAGGCCAAUUCAGUAGCCAUAUGGGAACCCUGUUUUGCCACCCUAUACUGCUUUGUACCUUUCUUGUCUCUGAAUGAGACUUUAAAGUUUGGCUGUGUUCUGAAAAUAAAGUAGGAAGGCUUUGAAGUUUCCAUGUCUGUUGUUUCUCAAAGAAAUGUGCUCAGUUUAGAAGUAAAAUAAGGCUUCCUUUCCUGCUGCUUUUUAGAAUGUUCAAGUGGAACUUUUUCUUUGGCUUUUACCUGUUACUAAGGCAUACUGCCCUAGAUUUAGACCCUUAAAAGCUAAAGCUGAACGGGAUUUGUGGCCUUUUUUGCUUUGUUUUUUCUUUCCAUCUAACUUCACCAAACAUUUGUUUGCUAAAACUUUAAAGCAGGUGUGGGGAUUAGCAAUUCUGGUGUUUUAGCUGGCUGAGAUAAAACCAUUGGCUGCUCAGUGUUGAGUUUUUCUCCUGUGUAAAGCAAACAAAAAAAGCCAAACUGAAUUAAAAACAAAGAACAUCAUAUUGUUAUUAAUACACUGGAGAUUUAAAAAGAAUUCAAUAAACUUUUUGUGUAAUAGUGACACUGGAGUGGUACACCAGUAUCACUCCAGUGUGUGAGUAGCUGUGUUGAUUUAGAUUUACUUCCCUUAGCUGUAUCUGCUCUGAAAAAGCCAGCGUUGGCCUUUUUCUGUGCUGACAUCAGUAAGCCUAACAGUCACCACAUAAGGAUAGGUACAUCUGAAGCGAGGUCUGUGUGCACAUAGAAUCUAUUCACCUUGGAAUCGUUAAUGAAUUUAUUCGCUGUUUUGCAAGGUUGAUAAAAGGUUAUGGGUUUUUAAUUUCCUGGUGGUGAAACUGAGGCAUAGACAGUACAAGAUAUUGUGUAAUCUGAGACUUCUGGAAUUUCUGUUCUUACUUUUCCUUAACUUCAUGUUCCAGAAGGCCUGAAAUGAGCACUGUGUAUAUACGCUGCCUGCAUGUGCGUCGUGUGUAUGUCUCUAUGCACUCACAGUAAAAUCUGUAUUGAGAGGAGAAGGAAAAAAAAUUUUAGCAAAGCUACUUUUUGGAAAUCCUGUGUGACCUGAGACUUAUUUUGUCACUAAUUCAUUCACUGUUUCAUUUUAAUUCUUCCUCCCACUGAAGGCAGGAGUUUUAUGCUGCCAAAUGACACAACUGGAAGUUCCAGCAUGUGUCACCAGGGUGAAAUGGUGGACAGAGCCUGCGUGCCUGCUCUGUGCAGGAAUCAAUCACCUAAAGCACCUGUGAGGUGAAUGGCUCACUAGAAAAUUAAGCACUUCUGUCAUGCUGGGUAUUGUGAAUCAGGUGAGAGUCAAUUGCUAAGUAGAUCUGGGACCAACUGUACUUCCCUGGGACUAAGGGCCUGCUUAUAGUUAGGCCAGAUGCUGGGUCUUAGCUAUAGCUGUCUUCAUGCUCAUAAACCAGUUUCACUGUACUCCUAUCCCUUCAGUUCCAUUCACUCCCAUAUCAAAUUUUUCAUUGUCAGCAUUGAGCUUUUCUCCCAGGUUUUCCUAAAAAGAACAUGCAUUCAUUAACUUUAAUAAUGAAUGAAUCUGCCCUAAUGGUCCUGUUGUGACCAGUGUAUUCAUGUUUGCUUCAAGCAAUCUCAGUUCUAUUUAAAUUAUUAUUUGUCUGGUAGUUACUGUCUCUGUCUCCUUACUUUGUUCUUUCCUCAUUUUGCUGAUUUUAGAUUUUGAAGAGAGGUUUGCAAUUUCAUCAGAUGAAGUUCUUCAACUCCUUGAUGAUUUGCAUUUUCUCUUUUAUGCUAUGAAGGUAAACAAGAAAACUUCAUACUUUGUAUUACAGCAAAAUUGUCCAAUAGUUCACAGCAAGGAGUAUCCAUCACUUCUAUUUACAAAGUUAGGCCUCUAUCACUUUGUUAGGGGGCAAUAAGAAUGGACAGAUAGCAGGAAGAUCUCAGAAGUCUGUCCUCAAAAUCAAAGUCUAACUGACAUGAAAGAAUGUCUCCUACACUUUGUUGAUAUUUUAAUCCUUAAAAAACCCACCAACAAACAGCAAAAGACCCCAUGCAGACAUCUUACCAUCCCCCAAAACAUUAUACACUGGUUGCACGAGGAAAUUUUGAUUCAAAGUUCAUUCUAAUGAGACUAGGCAGAUGUUUGAGAUUAUUGCAUAAACCGUGAAAAAUGGGGGAAAAAAAUAUCUAGAUUCCAUAAAUAAAUAAAUAACCUUAUCUGAUCUUCUGUUGGUGUGUGAAUUACAUAGAAAAUACUUUGUUAUACUGUGCUUCUAAGAGCUAAUGGUGUAGCCAGAGCAUUUUCUAGUCCUGGAUGCUACUUGGGGCAUUUUCAUGGCCAAGAAGAGAGAAAUUCUUCUUUCUUGUUUAAAGGUUCUGGUCAGAAUGGAUGAACACCUACAGGUACUGCCUUCAUGUGAUUUGUGUGGAGGAUGCUGAUGAUGUUUUCAGAGCCAUGCAGAUGUGGAGCACAGUCAAUUGUGAUAAUAGAGGGAAAUGUCUUUUAUGAUCUUUGUGUGUGUUUGAUGACAGUUUGAUCUGUGACCAUCUAUAACUAUCUGUUGUAGGAACAAAUAGAAAAAAAUUAGUUCAAAGAAGUUCUAAUGUUGUAACUGAAAAUUAAAAUGCAGUUGAGAGUAGGGUGAAGGCUACAUACUUUGAUUUCUAUGUUAAGUUUAUAUUGCUGUCAUUAGCAGUUGGCAACCAGUGAAAUACUGCAGGGAGUAAAAAAAACCUAUAUUUUAGGGAACAGACUGCAGAUUUGUAUCAGAGAUGGGGAUAACAUGGCUGGUUAUUAAGACCAGAAUUAUUUUAUCUUCCGUUAAGUAUUUGGCAUACCUGUCACUCAGCUACAUUCUACUGAGAUAGAUAAACCAAAAGCUUGAUCAGGUAUAGCUGAUAAUAACUAGUCAAUAAUGUUAUUUCUUGAUCAGUAUUGGUCUCCACUUUGUAUUGCUUUACGUAAUAGCAUUUGUUUCAUGUUCUUUAGAGCCUCUACACAGAGGCUUUCUUCAUCUGAUUCUCUAAGAACUUGCUCUUUAUUUUUUUUAUUCAGCCUUAAAUUUCUGUUUAAAUGUGUUUAGCAGUAGUGCUAUGUGGACUGUUUUCAAUUUGUGCAGGUUUUCACUCUGAUUAAUAAUUUCAUAUCUUUAUGUAGUGUAAUGCAUAUAGUAGAUGCCACCAUUUAACUUCCAGCUUUUUGGAAAUCAAGAAAUGUCACAGUGAGUGAUAUUUUUCCUGCUGUGGGUUUGUUUGGAAAUGUUUCUAGAUUUUUUUCCACGUCUUUUGUCGUUGAUGUUGUCAGUAUUUGCAUAUCAUGUUCAUUCUCUUUGCUUUUUCUGAUUCUUAAAGUAAUGGGAGUUCACCUGUAAUUGCUCUGCUACAAGCAACCACUCAAGUACCUGAUACAGUUUCUGCUGAAACACCUGUGGUGUGCAGUAUAAAACAAGUCCAGUUUAUAAGCUCAGAUGCCUGCUAAAUGAGAUUGCAAAGAGCUGCUAUGCACGAUACACUACACGCCAAAAUCCAUUUAGCUGUUCCUUAUUAGCAGCUCCAACUGAAAGAACAUGGAGUUCUGUUAAUCUUGCCUAAGUAACAUCUUGUUUCCCAAUCAAGUGCAAUCAGGAUGAUCUGAUCUAACUGUAUUAUCAGAAUGACUAUUUUGAUAUGCUUCACAAGUAGUUGAUUAAAUUUACUGGGUGUUGCUGUUGUUGGGCUGUUGUUUUUUUUGUGGGUUUUUUUUUCUGUUGUUUUUUUGAAUAUUCUGUAAGAACAGGGGUCUUUGUGUUUGGUUGGACGUGUCUGGGUUGUUGAGAUGUUCUUGUUUGUUUUGUUUUUACUGCAGAAUGAGUUUUGUAACAUUUAGUGGGCAUAGAAUUGUGUCACAAAUUUGUGAUGUCUAUUAAUACUUCAAAAUGUACAAAUUAUGGUUUCCUAGUAUUCAUUAAUUUUUCCUGGCUCCUGCUCCAUUGAGAAUAAUUGACUCCUUUUUAUUGUUUCCUUCAUCUGGAGUUACAGAAUUAAUCCAAUAUUACAGUUGUCUCAUCUGCACUUGUCUGUUCUGCUACUUUCCCACAUUACAAGUACUUGAAUGCACGAUGAUCUUGGUUUUAACCAGAGAACAAAAAGUUUCUGCUUUUCUUUGUGUUUUCUGACUUAUUUCAUUCAAUAUUCAUCUUAUUUUUUAUGACAGAAAACUUUACUGCUACUGUACAGCAGUCACAGAGAAGUGCACAGGCUUUUUCUUGAUUUAAAAUUUCCAGUUUUUCAGAAUAAUAUCCAUCUGCUCCCUUCUGACACUGGAGGACAGCUGGUGUCACAGAACAAAGAAGGCUGAGUCCCGGUAAGCAAAUUGCUUUGGACAGACGUCAGCAGGCUUCCCACUUGUUCAGAAUUUAGAAAGAAAAAGUCAUUUCUGUGAUGUAACUAUGGACCCAAGAGCAGUGUUUGUUGAACUAGGAGUUAUGGCCAGUUGUAGAAGGAUUCAUUUUAUCAGUAAAUUCAACACCUUCAUGAGAGAACAGGUGUAUUUAAGGCCUGGUUAAGAGGCUUCCAUAUUGUAGUUUGAAUACUUUUCCCCCCAUCCUGUCCCUGUUGUCAUUAAUAUCUGUAAAUCUUGAUAGAAGUUACAGAGCUGAUUAAUUGUGCUGGUCUGUAGUCUGUGGCGAUAAGUAACUCUGAUACUGGCCCAGCAAAUGAAAUGACAUUAUUUAGCCAGUACCAAGUACAUACGAUCAGUGCUUUCAGCUUUGAUACAAGAUGGUCACGCUUCAGCGCUAGUUAACCACAAGUAAGGGAGACGGAAGGGUGGUGGGGUCCAAUGCUCAGAAUUAUUUACACUGUGUGUGUCCGUACAUGCGCCCAUUAUAAUAAGCUUUUCAUUUAAAUGCUCAUGUCUUCUGGCUGUGUGUUAAUACUCAGAGUUAAGUCUUGGAGAUAGGAUGAUCUCUGAAUUUAACCACUGAAUGAAUAAUGUCAAAGUAGAUGCCAGGGAGCUGCAGAAAAUACUUGCUAUCUACUGAGACACAGUAUUUUUCUGAUAUAGAGUUAAUGCUACAUUUAAUUUUUUGUUCACAAACGGAGUGGCUGAGGUGCUUCAGACAAGAUGAAUAGUAAAACAUGGGACCAAGACUUUGUGCAGGAAUUCAACGUCUACAUAAGCUCUGAAGGAAAACUACUGGGCGAACUUUCUGGAAUUCUGACCUAGGUAGUUGUUAUAUUUCUAACUGUGCCUGUGUGGCUCCCUCUGUCUUUUCCCUACCUUGCCAUUACAGUGGGGACAGCUGGAGUGCAGGACAAGUACCCUUCUAACCAUUGCUCUCAUGGUUUUGAAUUCCUCACGUAACUUUUCUUUGGAGUGAGGCUGUCCUGUGAAGAAUAUCCUACCUUGUCUUGACUUUUCACUAACAUUUUCAUUUGUCCUCUGAAGCCCAAUUUAACUUUUAUAGCAAACGCCACCUCUGCUGUACCUCCUGCUCUGAGGUCUUCAUGGUUGAUAAUACAUCCAGGAGUCUCAGCAAAUUUGAAAGAAUAUGAAGGUUUGUUUCUUGUUUUUCCCAUUUGAACUCUUACUUAAACACUUUGCAGGCUCUACUGACACCAAGUGCCCCCUCCUGCCCCUGUUUUGUCAUGCAAAGGGUGUAUUUAAUCUCCCGCAUCCCAGGUGUGUUUUGAGGGCUUUUGCAAACUACUGCCAUCUUCCUGGGGAGAAAGAGUUGUAGGGAAAGACAUGCUAGACUGAGGGUGAAAGAAAAAGGAGGCUUUAAAAUAUUUUGUAUACUCUGACAAAGGAGAGAAACAACGACGAGAUAGAAUAAGCAGGAAAACUCUCCAGGGAUGUGACAGCUGAACUUUUGAAUGAGCUGUGAAGUGCUUUUCAGCUCUUCUGUGUGCUGGUAUUCAAGAUGGCAUCUCCUCAUGAAGGUGAGUACUCUCUCUGCCUUCCUGUGCCUAUCAGUGUUCACCCAGAAUACUGGAAGGUAUGAGAGGAAUGAGCAGUACUCUUAGCUUCCAUAAAUUAAGGCACUCGAGCUCAAUUGGCUCAGGUCUACUACUUCACAGUAGAGAAUGCUAUUUAUAUGCAAGCAUGCAAAAAGAAAAGAAAAGCCUGUCAGUCACUGACUGAGGAUCAGAGCCAAAUUCUAGAAUUCAAAUGCUAGGUCUCAAGGAUGCUUAGAAAAAUAUCACUGCGUUAAGGUUGUCUCAGCCUAUGGAGAAGUCCAGAAGUUCAGUGAAACUUUUUCCCCCCUCUGCCUUCUGAUAAAAGAAUUCAAUAAAAGAAUUCCCAUCUAUUUUGCAAAUAUUCUUCUUCUGCCAUUUUAGUCAAGAUCUUAGUAGUUUGUCUUGCAAUAUCUAAUAUGAUUUAUCCAGACAGGCUUUUUGUUUUUACUAGGAAAGGGACUUUUACUGAAUACAGACCUGGAUUCUGCUCUAUCAGUGUUUGUCUGAUGCCUUCAGGAGGUGAGCUUCUACACAUCAAUUCUGCAGAAGGGGUUAGAGGUCAGCUAAUACCAUUAUGGUUGAAAACAGCUUUAACUUGAAGAACAGCAACAGCUGGAGGUCAAGCAGCUAUCAUCCCUGAAAUAGUUGCCUCAUGGAUUCAAGGGAUACUUCAGAGCUUAGCACAGACCAAACAUUCAACUUAAAAAUCUGAAAUUGCGCAAGGUAACUUUGGAGGUUGGAACAUUAAUUAAAGCUGGUUUUGCCUAAGAUCAAAAUGUCUCUUGGUACUUAUGGCAUUAAGUGCCAUUGUUGAGAUAAUUAUUUGGAAGGAGAAUGAAGACUUCAUGAACAUUCAACAGAAGAAAACUGAAUCUAAAAUGAUAAACUAGAUAUGAAGAUGCAUCUUCAUACUGCAUUUUUGAUCCUUGCUUCCAACCUUUUUUUGUACCUAGGGCAAGAUAAAGCUCUCUUAUUUAUUUAUUUUUAAAAUGCAUUAUAGAUCAGCCUUCCAGUAUGAAAGUGCAGAAUUCUUACAGUGCCAGUGGAUCUUUGGAAUCAUAAAAUGGUUUUUAACUCCUGUCUCUUAUUCCUCAUUGGCUUUUCUCUCAGCUAUAACUUCUAGAAGACAAUACUGAAAGCACUUCUGGAAUUCUAAAGGAAAAUUAGUAGUCAUUACUUUUCAAAUACAAUGACAGGGCUUUAUAUACCUGUCCUAUUAUGUGAGGUGUCUAAGAUCUGUCCUCUUCAAAUCCGGACUGAUGACCCAGACAGCACAGAGAGCUGUUCAAAGCAGUCAACAUUCAAAGGUUGUAAUCUCUGAUAUUCUACUCAUAAUGUCAUAUUGUCAUAAUAUCAUUCAUCAUAAUGAAGUAAUGCAAAGACUGUAAGAAGCACUACACUGUAUUGGUUUUUGUCCACUUUCCCGAACAUAAAAUCUAUCCCGGUCUUGCAUAUAUCUUUGAAAGCUAAGGCACACUGUUUUGCAAAGAGAAAUAGUUAUAACAGAGUACGAGUAUACUUGGAAAAAGAAAUACUUCGCAUUUUGCUUCAGAGAGUACAAAAUAUGUGUUACCCAUUUCAUAAAUCUUUUGUCUACGUCUCCUUAAGUCACACUUGAAUAGCAUGGUUCUGAGAGAAAUGGAUAAGACCAAGUUUUGAUGCCUAAGGUGCUUCCAUUCUGGUGAUAGGUUGAAAUAAAAAAGCAUAGGGAAGAUAGCAAGAAAAUAAUAGAACCAUAAAUAAUAAAUGUAUUCUGCAAGUGUCAUAGGAAAGCAUCAGAAGCCACUUUAGUAAGCUAGAAAUGUGCAUGCAGAUGCAAAGCUGUGAGUGAAGCAAGAUGUAGUGAAGAAAUAGAUCUGGUGAGAGCUCAGACAGAAGGGGAAAAGUAAUAUUCUAUCAAUAAUGCAGAAAUAGGAUACAUGUUUUGUCUGAUAUAAUUGUGCCUCUUUGGUAUGACUGAAAGGUAGAAGCAGUAAUUAGUCAUGGCUUGAGACACGCUGGGUAAGCUGAGCAAUGGGAAGUAGCAGAAGAAAUUAUUUUCUCCAGAGAACAAAUGAUGCACAUUGGUCUAGGCAUACAGCCCUGCUUUUGCACUUUCUUUCCUUGUAAUGCAGCUGUUCCCAGCUAACAAAGAAACUCUGCAUGAUAAGCUCUAGUCAUAUCACUACUGUUGCUUUAUAUUUAAUGAGGCAAGUAUGAACUGUGAACUAGGGAGUAGAUUAAAGUUUCUCAAGCAGACAAGAGAACAUUUCAAACUCAGCCUAAGAAAGUGUUUGUGCUACUGGUGUCCAGUCCAGAAUUAGUACACUGAUAGAGAUUAAAUUGCAUUUUCUCUGCCUGUAAAAAAAACCCAUUUACUCCAUUAUAUUAUCUGAAGAUAAGCAGUGAUCCAGAUUGCUGCUGAGAAGAAAUAAGCAUUAUAGGCCGUAGCUGCAUCUACAGCCUGAACUUUGAAUCUAUCCCUUUUGUAACAAUGGAAAGCCACUGGGGUCUACGGAUGGAAAAAGUAUUGAUCCAGUAUCUUAAGGUAGUUACAGUGAUUUUGUGUUUGUGACCAUUUUACACUGCAGAUUUUAGAAAAGAUUAUGGAAAAAAGACAAACUCUUCAUGUAGUUUGCUAGAUGUAGAUUUCCAUUGUUUUGUCUAAGUAUUUCAUUUCCCUCAGUCAGGGUUUCUUGAGAUGGUUUUCUUCCUAAAUUCACUAUUAUUAUUGUCAGGGGCUGACUGCUUUGAUAGACAGUGAUAACUAAAUCUACAUAAUCUGGAGAGCCCCUGCAGGAAGCUGAAAGUUAUGGGACACAAAACUGCAAGAGAGACCCUGUUUUGAGGGAGAAACAGGUAAAGAACCUUCAUUUCAGAGACUGUAACUUAUUUUUUCUUCUGGGUGCUAACUUUGAAGAGAAGAUUUGUCUAAACUUUCAACAUUUUGUUCUUCUUCCCUUCAUUAUUUCCUUAAAAAUUUUUAAGAACUCCAUUGGGAUUAUAAUAGCUGAACCCUUUUUAGAUUAAUAGCUUUCGUUUAAACAAACUUCCCCCUUUUCAUUAAACUCACUUUGCUCUUGUUAAUUAAAACCAAUCUUUGGAGUAUAAUAGUGAUUACCACCUGAUUGUCUUCUCUGCAUACUGAACUGGGACACCAACUGUAGUUCAAAGAAUUAUAAAGAAUGUUAUGAUUUAACUACAGUUUAAAUGUGUGGAGAACAAUGUAAACCCAAUUUGCUAAACAUUUGGCAGUAACUUAGGAAAUAGACAGUAACUAAGAUGGUACGGACUCAUUUUUUUCAACUGUUGAGAUAUCAUGCUACAAAGAACUUGUCCUACUUUAGAAUUUGACUUUUCAUUCAAGUAGCCCUGAAGGAAAGUUUAUUCUGUUAAUACAUAUGACUUCUAUGCAAAUACAUUAAUUGCCUGUUAAGAAAUGAACUUUCUAGGCAAUAUUGUUCUGUGCAAAAACCAAACUGUACAAUCCUUAUCCCUGGUCAGAAAAAAAAAAAAAAAAAAAAAAA